CUCUGUGUGCGUUCUUCAGAGAAGGUCCAAAAGUAUUGAUUAUCUUUGCCAUUUAUAGGCAUGCAGUGAUCUUGAAUAGCCCAUUGGCUCCUUAUUGGACCUGCGUUUAUUUCCUCCGACAGGCGCACACGUGCUUGUAAGUGGAGCCCUCCUGUCCCGGCCAAUCACAGCUGCUUGGGUGAAAUUCUGGAGGGUGUCAGUCAGACCAAUAAAACCACGUGCUGUGCCGAAGACUGUGUACAUACUUUCCCUGUGUAAUGGAAUACUGUGCAAAUGUCAGAGCGGAGGAAUUUGCAAUGCAUUGACUUGUCGAAUAGCUUGGAUACAUGUUGUGAAUUUGCUACAGGAGCUGCAUGAACAUGCUAGUACUCGGAACGCAUGGAUAGAAAGAGGAAAUGAACCUAUCUCUGCUUUGUUUUGGUCUCUCCGUUGAGACCAUGUAAUCUUGUCCUCACUGGCUUAUCUGCUCUCCAUGGGUGAAGUAUCUCUUUGAAAACAAUCUGCUUAGCUGCUUUUCUUGCCCCUGGAGAGGGAAUGGGCAUAAGAAAUCCAGAGCCAUGUGUUCUGUUCAGCUUCACAUGCACUUAUCUAUGCUGUUUUAUUUCUGUUUCCAGAUUAUGUCCAUCAUAAUCAUUUGAGCUGUAGUUUGACCGUCAGAAUGAGAAUUUUAAAAAUCAUUUGACAUGAUAUACUAUUACAGUCUUAUUGCAGCUUUUUUUUAUGUAGUCUUGAUUUUUUUUAUAUAUAUAUAUAUAUAUAUGUGUGUGUGUAUAUGUAAACAAGUAGUUGAUAUAGGAUCGUGGAUUAAAUCGGAACAAUUCCUUAACAAAGUGGUGCUAUGCCUGUGAUCCAGUUUGUUACCAAUUCAAGUUAUUAAAGCUUUCUCAAGUCAAUGUUCUGUCUCUUACCUUGGCUUCUGUGCCUGUCUUUGUGAUAUAGCCUAGUUAUUUUAGAAUUACACCCUUACAAGUGCUUAAUUCAUACUAUAUUUGCUAUUUAAGUUAAACUGUGGUCAUACUAUGCUUUUUGAAUGCACAACUACAUCAGACCCUUCACACUUGCAAACCAUGCAGAUUUGAGUUUUAUCCAAGAGUUCAAUCUGUGAUGCUUUGUUCAAAUGC
Long non-coding RNA from Cyprinus carpio (common carp), 1121 nucleotides. NCBI's taxonomy places the organism in Eukaryota, Metazoa, Chordata, Actinopteri, Cypriniformes, Cyprinidae. The record is from Ensembl.